RNAcentral lists this ribosomal RNA (505 nucleotides) under uncultured bacterium. RNAcentral's name for it is "partial 16S ribosomal RNA". It matches the Rfam family "Bacterial small subunit ribosomal RNA", at positions 28 to 507 of the family's 1533-position model. The record is from RNAcentral.
GACGAACGCUGGCGGCGUGCCUAGUACAUGCAAGUAGAACGCACAGUUUAUACCGUAGCUUGCUACACCAUAGACUGUGAGUUGCGAACGGGUGAGUAACGCGUAGGUAACCUGCCUGGUAGCGGGGGAUAACUAUUGGAAACGAUAGCUAAUACCGCAUAAUAUUGAUUAUUGCAUGAUAAUUGAUUGAAAGAUGCUAUUGCAUCACUACCAGAUGGACCUGCGUUGUAUUAGCUAGUAGGUGAGGUAACGGCUCACCUAGGCGACGAUACAUAGCCGACCUGAGAGGGUGAUCGGCCACACUGGGACUGAGACACGGCCCAGACUCCUACGGGAGGCAGCAGUAGGGAAUCUUCGGCAAUAGACGAAAGUCUGACCGAGCAACGCCGCGUGAGUGAAGAAGGUUUUCGGAUCGUAAAGCUCUGUUGUAAGAGAAGAACGGGUGUGAGAGUGGAAAGUUCACACUGUGACGGUAUCUUACCAGAAAGGGACGGCUAACUACGUG